ACCAUAGUGGAGAAUAAGAUUAAAAUAUUUUUAAUCUAAAUUAUGUAUACAUAAAAAUAUAAAAUCACAUGGAUCUAUCUCCUAUGCUGAAAUUGAUAUAUGCUGAAUUUAGAUUGUGAUCAAAUCACAUACCUGUUUCACAAUCAUUUUCUUUGAAUCUGGAUCUGAAAGAGAAGAGGUUUUCUCUUAGCUGCAUAAGUAUCCGGCCU
Molecule: long non-coding RNA, 209 nt
Filed under: Elaeis guineensis (African oil palm)
Lineage: Eukaryota; Viridiplantae; Streptophyta; Magnoliopsida; Arecales; Arecaceae
Description: long non-coding RNA (EGUI_LNC071313)
Source: RNAcentral